CUGCUGCUUACUGAGUAUUCACUGAGUGGCCCAUAUGACACUUCUGUCUUCUUUCCUGAGUGGUUAUGGUUCAUGUAGAGUAUGUUCUUGGUAGCUGAAGCAGCAAGAAAACAGAGCUUCGUUAUUCUGGAUUUUGAAAAGUUCAUAAAAGAACAGACAUUGAAGUAUCUUCAAAAACAACACUGUACAAGGUACUAGAGUGCCCAGAGAUGCCCAUGGUACCAGGUGCUGAACUUCAGUAGUCUGCAAAUCCUCAUGAAUGACCAUCCAAAUGAUCAAUCUUCAUGAUCCAUUCCGUGGCGAGCUGGGAAAAAAAAUGCAGUUGCUAAUCAAUGUCUGAACAGUCUGAAGCUCC
Long non-coding RNA from Chelonoidis abingdonii (Abingdon island giant tortoise), 355 nucleotides. RefSeq lists it as uncharacterized. NCBI's taxonomy places the organism in Eukaryota, Metazoa, Chordata, Testudines, Testudinidae. The record is from RefSeq and is a predicted model, not a curated record.